Molecule: ribosomal RNA, 449 nt
Filed under: uncultured bacterium
Lineage: Bacteria
Description: partial 16S ribosomal RNA
Rfam family: Bacterial small subunit ribosomal RNA
Source: RNAcentral
GUGGGGAAUAUUGGACAAUGGCGAAAGCCUGAUCCAGCCAUGCCGCGUGUGUGAAGAAGGUCUUCGGAUUGUAAAGCACUUUAAGUUGGGAGGAAGGGUAGUAACCUAAUACGUUGCUACUUUGACGUUACCGACAGAAUAAGCACCGGCUAACUUCGUGCCAGCAGCCGCGGUAAUACGAAGGGUGCAAGCGUUAAUCGGAAUUACUGGGCGGAAAGCGCGCGUAGGUGGUUCAGUAAGUUGGAAGUGAAAUCUCCGGGCUCAACCUGGGAACUGCUUUCAAAACUGCUGAGCUAGAGUACGGUAGAGGGUGGUGGAAUUUCCUGUGUAGCGGUGAAAUGCGUAGAUAUAGGAAGGAACACCAGUGACGAAGGCGACCACCUGGACUGAUACUGACACUGAGGUGCGAAAGCGUGGGGAGCAAACAGGAUUAGAUACCCCGGUAGUCC